This 331-nucleotide ribosomal RNA is filed under the name Morganella sp. (in: enterobacteria). Its description in RNAcentral is "bacterial SSU rRNA". It matches the Rfam family "Bacterial small subunit ribosomal RNA", at positions 1 to 327 of the family's 1533-position model. The record is from RNAcentral. Lineage: Bacteria; Pseudomonadati; Pseudomonadota; Gammaproteobacteria; Enterobacterales; Morganellaceae.
UUAAUUGAAGAGUUUGAUCAUGGCUCAGAUUGAACGCUGGCGGCAGGCCUAACACAUGCAAGUCGGGCGGUAACAGGGAGAAGCUUGCUUCUCUGCUGACGAGCGGCGGACGGGUGAGUAAUGUAUGGGGAUCUGCCUGAUGGAGGGGGAUAACUACUGGAAACGGUAGCUAAUACCGCAUGAUGUCUUCGGACCAAAGCGGGGGACCUUCGGGCCUCGCGCCAUCAGAUGAACCCAUAUGGGAUUAGCUAGUAGGUGAGGUAAUGGCUCACCUAGGCGACGAUCUCUAGCUGGUCUGAGAGGAUGAUCAGCCACACUGGGACUGAGACAC